RNAcentral lists this ribosomal RNA (160 nucleotides) under uncultured bacterium. RNAcentral's name for it is "partial 16S ribosomal RNA". The record is from RNAcentral.
GAGUAGUCUUCGGUUUAAAUGAAUGGGGGAAACCCUGAACUCAGAAAGCCGCUGGGGAAGAGAAAGGUUUUCGGGAUUGAAAGCUCUUUUCUGAGGGAAUAUACACGAAUGCGUGAGCGGAGCUGACAGUACCGUACGAAUAACCUGCGGCUAACUACUG